Molecule: ribosomal RNA, 253 nt
Filed under: uncultured bacterium
Lineage: Bacteria
Description: partial 16S ribosomal RNA
Rfam family: Bacterial small subunit ribosomal RNA
Source: RNAcentral
UACGUAGGGGGCAAGCGUUAUCCGGAAUUACUGGGUGUAAAGGGUGAGUAGGCGGCAUGGUAAGCCAGAUGUGAAAGCCUUGGGCUUAACCCGUGGAUUGCAUUUGGAACUAUCAAGCUAGAGUACAGGAGAGGAAAGCGGAAUUCCUAGUGUAGCGGUGAAAUGCGUAGAUAUUAGGAAGAACACCAGUGGCGAAGGCGGCUUUCUGGACUGAAACUGACGCUGAGGCACGAAAGCGUGGGGAGCGAACAGG